ACUCCUACGGGAGGCAGCAGUGGGGAAUAUUGCACAAUGGGCGCAAGCCUGAUGCAGCCAUGCCGCGUGUGUGAAGAAGGCCUUCGGGUUGUAAAGCACUUUCAGUCGUGAGGAAGGUAGUGUAGUUAAUAGCUGCAUUACUUGACGUUAGCGACAGAAGAAGCACCGGCUAACUCCGUGCCAGCAGCCGCGGUAAUACGGAGGGUGCGAGCGUUAAUCGGAAUUACUGGGCGUAAAGCGCAUGCAGGUGGUUUGUUAAGUCAGAUGUGAAAGCCCGGGGCUCAACCUCGGAAUAGCAUUUGAAACUGGCAGACUAGAGUACUGUAGAGGGGGGUAGAAUUUCAGGUGUAGCGGUGAAAUGCGUAGAGAUCUGAAGGAAUACCGGUGGCGAAGGCGGCCCCCUGGACAGAUACUGACACUCAGAUGCGAAAGCGUGGGGAGCAAACAGGAUUAGAUACCCUGGUAGCACAGAG
RNAcentral lists this ribosomal RNA (473 nucleotides) under uncultured bacterium. RNAcentral describes it as "bacterial SSU rRNA". It matches the Rfam family "Bacterial small subunit ribosomal RNA", at positions 335 to 799 of the family's 1533-position model. The record is from RNAcentral.